Non-coding RNA from Maylandia zebra (zebra mbuna), 140 nucleotides. Lineage: Eukaryota; Metazoa; Chordata; Actinopteri; Cichliformes; Cichlidae. The record is from RefSeq and is a predicted model, not a curated record.
CCUCUGAUGGCGGUCAAGUACGUGUCGGAGCGCAUGGAAAAAGUAUCUUGGCCCCGAACUCUGACCACAAAGGGAAUAACGUCUGUCAAGUUAUUUGUGUCUGAAAAUCCCGAUUGGUUUUUUUGAACUACUAGAAGGAU